UACGGAGGAUGCAAGCGUUAUCCGGAAUUAUUGGGCGUAAAGCGUCCGCAGGUGGUUUUGAAAGUUUGCUGUCAAAGCGCGGAGCUUAACUUCGUACCGGCAGUGAAAACUCCAAGACUAGAGUUUGGUAGGGGUCACGGGAAUUCCCAGUGGUAGCGGUGAAAUGCGUAGAGAUUGGGAAGAACACCAGCGGCGAAGGCGGCUCUCUGGGACGGUACUGACGCUGAGACGCGAAAGCGUGGGGAGCGAACAGG
RNAcentral lists this ribosomal RNA (254 nucleotides) under uncultured bacterium. RNAcentral's name for it is "partial 16S ribosomal RNA". It matches the Rfam family "Bacterial small subunit ribosomal RNA", at positions 524 to 776 of the family's 1533-position model. The record is from RNAcentral.